GGGAUAUUGCACAAUGGGGGGAACCCUGAUGCAGCGACGCCGCGUGGGCGAUGGAGUGCUUCGGCAUGUAAAGCCCUAUCAGCAGGGAAGAAAAUGACGGUACCUGACUAAGAAGCACCGGCUAAAUACGUGCCAGCAGCCGCGGUAAUACGUAUGGGGCAAGCGUUAUCCGGAUUUACUGGGUGUAAAGGGAGCGUAGGCGGCCUGGCAAGCCUGAUGUGAAAUACCGGGGCCCAACCCCGGGGCUGCAUUGGGAACUGCCAGGCUGGAGUGCCGGAGAGGCAGGCGGAAUUCCUAGUGUAGCGGUGAAAUGCGUAGAUAUUAGGAGGAACACCAGUGGCGAAGGCGACUUUCUGGACAGUAACUGACGUUGAGGCACGAAAGUGUGGGGAGCAAACAG
This 400-nucleotide ribosomal RNA is filed under the name uncultured bacterium. RNAcentral's name for it is "bacterial SSU rRNA". It matches the Rfam family "Bacterial small subunit ribosomal RNA", at positions 358 to 775 of the family's 1533-position model. The record is from RNAcentral.